RNAcentral lists this long non-coding RNA (4593 nucleotides) under Homo sapiens (human). RNAcentral describes it as "non-protein coding lnc-SC5D-4:5". Lineage: Eukaryota; Metazoa; Chordata; Mammalia; Primates; Hominidae. The record is from RNAcentral.
GCCUUCACGAUCGUGAUGGCCCGCUGGUCCCACUUCUCUGUCUCAAACUGGCUUUUUCUCAAUCCUUUGACUCCGCCGGGCUUUGUCACCCCCAUGACCUGGUGUUGGGUCUGAUCACCCCAACGUUCCUGGCUGCUCAAUGUGGGGUGACAAAGACCCCGGUGAAGGAACGCUAGAGCGUGUGAAAGCAGAGGACGCAUCAUCAGAGGACACCUGAGGAUGUCUAAAAGAAGCUCAGCAGGAAAGCUGAGUGCUGGGAAGAACCAGGGUAGCAAUGGGACAAAGUGAAAGCAGACAUUCUGCUUAUUUAAAUUUCUUAAGGCGUUUAUUAUGAAGAGGGGGGAGUGAAAGUUAGUGCUCAGAAUUUAUCACUCUUCAGUGCAGUAAAGCAGUUUUGCCCAUGGUUCCCGGAACAAGGGACUAUGGAGUUGGAUGAAUGGGAGAGAAUUGGCAGAGAUUUUUAAAAAAACAUAUAAAGGUGGAGCAAAUAUUCCAGUCUCGGUUUGGUCAAUGUGGGCACUAAUAAAAGCAGCUCUUGAGCCAUUUCAAACAGAUCAUGAGGCAGAUUCAGAUGAGGAAGAGGAGGGCGAGUGUAAAAAACUAACUUCAGAUUCUGAAUGUGAGGAACAGAAACCGGAGGAAAUCAAAGAAAGGGAAACCGAAAAAGGUCCUAAUAAGAGAUGAAGAACAAUGAAGAUAUCGUGAAAAAUAUUUUGCUUCCCUGCCUUCAUACAAUCCUCUAACAGUCAAAAAUGUAUCUGCAGCGCCCAGUAAGGCCAACUGAUGACUCAAACACAACCCCCCAAGGGUGUCCUUAUGCCCUUCCAUUGCUUAAAAUAAAGAGCUCGGGGGUCACUUACGGAAAUCAAUGGGCUGGAGUGCAAUGGCAUGAUCUCGGGUCACUACAACCUCUGUCUCCCCGGUUCAAGCAAUUCUCCUGCCUCAACCUCCUGCGUAGCUGGGAUUACAGGCCUGCCCAUGGCUGCUCAUGGAACAAUCGGCUAGCGUUUCCUCCCCUCUGAGAUCCAUAAAAGCCGGCAGCUCAGCCAGAGCAGGGCAGAGGGCAGAGGACAGAGAGAUGAUGGGAUGACCCGCUGCAGAGAGGAGCUACCCUCCUGCUGAGAGCUUCAGAGACCUGCAGAGACUUCCAAAUGAUCUGCCUGCAGAGAUGAGCCACGCUUUCCAGGGCUUUCUCUCUGCUGAGAGCUGAGUACUUGAGGAGAGGGCCUGCCUAGGAGCCGACCUGACUACAGAGAGGAGCUGCCCACUGUGGGUCUCUUCUGUUCUAACACUAAAUAAAGCUCCUCUUUAUCUUCUUCACCCUUCACCUGUCUGCAUACUUUAUUCUUUAUUCUUCCUGGACGCAGGACAAGAACUCAGGGCAAAGGUGCCACUGGCCACAGAGGUUUUCAGGAAGAAAAUUGACACCCCAAAGAUUGCCACCGGCUACAGAGGCUUCCAGAAAGAAAAUUGACACCUCAAAGAUCCCGUAACAGUUCCUCUCUAGGUUAUAGGACAGCUGCCAAUUACAAUAAGGCCUGCUCACUUUCUUCUUUACAUUCAGCAGAGAGAAAUUGCCUCUCCCUAAGCCAUCAGACAGUCUAUCUUCAGUCUUUUGGGGUCAGUUUGCGAUGCUACCCAAACAAUGUAGGGCUGGUUCCUUGAAGCAAUCACUGAUUGGCUUGCUGGCCAGGGCCCAUCUACUGAGUUCAGGUCAGUUCCUCAAAGCUCACUGCUGCAACAUGAUGGAAAGUGGGGGUGAAUGUUGAGGAAUCAACUACUCUAUCCACUACAAAAGAUUUCCUCAGAAAACGCUCAUGUUUUUACUAAACUGACGCUUGACUGUACAUUUAUUUUGAAGUUUGCUAAGAUGAAAGGAAUUUUAGUAUUUCUUACAGUUAGUGUCUAAGGUAGAUCUCUGGAAAGGUUACGUGCCAUCUUGAAUUGCAGUUAGAUUUCAGACAAUUCAUGAAAUAUCAAUAUUCAAAUAUAAAUAGGAAGUAUAAACUGAUUUUUAACCUAAUUUUUAAAAAGUCAGUUAUUAGAUAAAAUAAUGUUAAAGUAAAAAUUGUAGCUAAGCAUUAAAGGCAAUAAAUAUGUCCAAAGACAUACAUAGAGAGAUUCUUUCAAUUGGAGGAAGACCACUCCCCUAAUAAUCUAAGGUUGCCUUACAUGACAGCUACAGUGCAUAAACACUCAAACAUAAUUUUAUUCUUGAGCUGCAGAAAAUUUAAACAUUUGUGUGAUAUCGUCUACAUAUAUGGAAUAUACGCAUUCCUUUCGCUCUUCAAAAUUUCUGUAAGGAAGUAAUAUAUGCACAUCGCAACAAAAUUCAACCAGCACCAAUAGUUUUUUAAGUCUCUUUCUCACUCAAAUUUCCCCAGAAUCUUCCUUCUUAAAGGCCUAAGAUUAUCAGUUUCUUGUGUGUUCUUCCCUAAAUAUUCUGUAUAUAAGAAAACAGAUACAGCCUUUUUUUUUUUUCUUUGUGAGAUGGCGUGUCGCUCUGUCUCCCAGGCUGGAGUGCAGUGGCACAAUCUCAGCUCAUGACAACCUCUGCCUGCUGGGUUCCAGCGAUUCUCCCACCUCAGCCUCCUGAGUAGCUGGGAUUACAGGUGCUCACCACCAUGCCCAGCUUUUUUUUUUUUUUUUUUUAGUAGAGAUGGGGUUUCACCAUGUUGCCUAGGCUGGUCUCGACUUCCUGACCUCAAGUGAUCCACCUGCCUCGGGCUCCCAAAAUGCUGGGAUUACAGGUGUGAGCCACCACGCCUGGCCCCCAGAUACAUCCUUUCAAAAAAAUACAAAUGGGAACACAGCUACACUGUUCAGAAACUUGCUUAUCUUCGUUUGAUAAUACACUGCGUUCAUACUCCAUAGAGUGAUCCAACCUUGAGUAACUAACUGCAUGAUUAUAUCUCAUGAACUUGAAGUGGAGGUAAGGACAGCACUUGGGCUUAGAUGACGGCUGCUGUAGAAGGAGUGAUUCACUGCCCAGGAAGGGAAAAUGCAAUGAAGAACAGGAGCCCUGAAGGAAUGUGCCACAGCACCUGGAGUGAGGGAAACAAAAUCACCAGCAAGAGGUGAAAGUGAUGGGGACAAAGAAGGCUGGGGCCUCACAAAUUGCCUACGGUUGUUGUUGUUGUUGUUGUUGUUUUGAAACAGGGUCUUGCUCUGUUGCCCAGGCGGGAGUGUGGUCGCACAAUCUCGGCUCACUGCAACCUCCGCCUCCCAGGUUCCAGCAAUUCUCCUGCCUCAGCUUCCCAAGUAGCUGGGACUACAGGCAGACACCACCACACCCGGCUAAUUUUUGUAUUUUAAUAGAGACGAGGUUUUGCUAUGUUGGCCAGACUGUUCUUGAACUCCUGACCUCCAGUGAUCCACCCACCUCAGCCUCUCGAAGUACUGGGAUUACAGGCGUGAGUCACUGCACCCAGCCUGUUCUUUUGUCUUUCAACAAUCUAGAGUCAGAGUGAAGAAUUUUACUGUGAUUCUGAAAACAAAGAAUUCUUUACUUGGUUAAUGAAGUUUUGUUUUGCUUUGUUUUUUUUUCCUUCGUCUUUGUGUAAUGGUUUUUGAAUGGGCUGUUUUUGAAUAAAAGCCUUUCGUCCUAGGGCAAUCCCAUAGUUAGGGUAUUUCUGCAUGUGAGAUUCUCUACUUCACCACUAGAUGGACCUACUUGAUAUUUUGUCUUCCGAAAAAGCGAAACAAUUUUAUACUGUGAAGUCUUUCUGACAAAGAUUUAAACUGCUCACCUUAAAAAAAGAUUUGAGGGCUUAAAAUAAUAAUAAACCAAAUCACUUUUACAAAAUAAUGAGUAAAAUGUACUUAUAUAUUUAAAUAAUGUUAAUAAAAUGAAACACUUGUAUAACCGCCUCCUGGCUUAAGAAAUAAAAUAUAACCAAAUAAAUCCUUGAAGCCAACUAUGCUUCCUCUCUGAUUUUCCCCUUCUUUUUCCCACCUGGAUAAAUUGUAAAUUAUUGGCUAUUAAAAAUCGUUUUAUAAUAUGAUAUAUCUCUAAACAAUAUAAUGUGUAAUUUGUUCAGGUCUUGAAACUUGUGUAAAAUAACUCACAUUGUAUUUAUUUUUCUCUGACUUGCUUUUUUCCACUCAUUAUUCUUUUUCUGAGAUUCAUUCACGCAUUUUUAAAACUGCUUGAUGGUAUUGUGUUUUAUAAAUAGACUAAAAUUAAUUUCUCCAUUUUACUGAUUUUGGACUUGCUUGUUUUCAUUGAAUAUUAUGAUUUUAAGAUUUUCAUGUUAACUCAUGCAGCUGAGAUUAAGGUAGAUUAAACAUUCCUGUUUUAUCAUCUGUAUCUAAUACUUCCAGGGUCAAUCUUGGGGUUCUGCUCCUCCAGUUUACUCUUUUUUUCUGCUGGAUUGGGUUGAUUUGGGCUUGUUUCCAUACGUGUUUUAAUAAUUUUUUUAAAAAAAUACAAAUACAUGUUCCUUCAGCAGAAAGUCUCUGAAAGCAAUGUUUUCAUUUUUACUUCUAUGAUUUUAUAUCUUUAAUUAGCCCCUAGAAGUUCUUCACUUCUCCCAUCUAGAGCUCAUUUCACUCACUGCCCUUUUUGGCUUCUAGACUGUCACUGUCUCCAGC